CACCCAAAAAAGCUACUGUUGAUUGAGAGUGCCAUGUUGCACCAAAAAAGGAGAUAUCCAAGGAAGCAAAAGAAGGGAAGGAAGUCAAAGAAAUGGAAUCAACAAAAGAUACUAAAACCAUUGAUAAGCUUGAAAAAGAGCAACACUCUGUGUCAACCAGGCAGACCGACAUAGAUAAAAAGGAAAAGAGUGACAAAGGGGACAAAGGAAAUACAUCC
Non-coding RNA from Benincasa hispida (wax gourd), 218 nucleotides. The record is from RefSeq and is a predicted model, not a curated record. Lineage: Eukaryota; Viridiplantae; Streptophyta; Magnoliopsida; Cucurbitales; Cucurbitaceae.